Molecule: ribosomal RNA, 2903 nt
Filed under: Escherichia coli
Lineage: Bacteria; Pseudomonadati; Pseudomonadota; Gammaproteobacteria; Enterobacterales; Enterobacteriaceae
Description: 23S ribosomal RNA
Rfam family: Bacterial large subunit ribosomal RNA
Source: RNAcentral
GGUUAAGCGACUAAGCGUACACGGUGGAUGCCCUGGCAGUCAGAGGCGAUGAAGGACGUGCUAAUCUGCGAUAAGCGUCGGUAAGGUGAUAUGAACCGUUAUAACCGGCGAUUUCCGAAUGGGGAAACCCAGUGUGUUUCGACACACUAUCAUUAACUGAAUCCAUAGGUUAAUGAGGCGAACCGGGGGAACUGAAACAUCUAAGUACCCCGAGGAAAAGAAAUCAACCGAGAUUCCCCCAGUAGCGGCGAGCGAACGGGGAGGAGCCCAGAGCCUGAAUCAGUGUGUGUGUUAGUGGAAGCGUCUGGAAAGGCGCGCGAUACAGGGUGACAGCCCCGUACACAAAAAUGCACAUGCUGUGAGCUCGAUGAGUAGGGCGGGACACGUGGUAUCCUGUCUGAAUAUGGGGGGACCAUCCUCCAAGGCUAAAUACUCCUGACUGACCGAUAGUGAACCAGUACCGUGAGGGAAAGGCGAAAAGAACCCCGGCGAGGGGAGUGAAAAAGAACCUGAAACCGUGUACGUACAAGCAGUGGGAGCCUCUUUAUGGGGUGACUGCGUACCUUUUGUAUAAUGGGUCAGCGACUUAUAUUCUGUAGCAAGGUUAACCGAAUAGGGGAGCCGAAGGGAAACCGAGUCUUAACUGGGCGUUAAGUUGCAGGGUAUAGACCCGAAACCCGGUGAUCUAGCCAUGGGCAGGUUGAAGGUUGGGUAACACUAACUGGAGGACCGAACCGACUAAUGUUGAAAAAUUAGCGGAUGACUUGUGGCUGGGGGUGAAAGGCCAAUCAAACCGGGAGAUAGCUGGUUCUCCCCGAAAGCUAUUUAGGUAGCGCCUCGUGAAUUCAUCUCCGGGGGUAGAGCACUGUUUCGGCAAGGGGGUCAUCCCGACUUACCAACCCGAUGCAAACUGCGAAUACCGGAGAAUGUUAUCACGGGAGACACACGGCGGGUGCUAACGUCCGUCGUGAAGAGGGAAACAACCCAGACCGCCAGCUAAGGUCCCAAAGUCAUGGUUAAGUGGGAAACGAUGUGGGAAGGCCCAGACAGCCAGGAUGUUGGCUUAGAAGCAGCCAUCAUUUAAAGAAAGCGUAAUAGCUCACUGGUCGAGUCGGCCUGCGCGGAAGAUGUAACGGGGCUAAACCAUGCACCGAAGCUGCGGCAGCGACGCUUAUGCGUUGUUGGGUAGGGGAGCGUUCUGUAAGCCUGUGAAGGUGUGCUGUGAGGCAUGCUGGAGGUAUCAGAAGUGCGAAUGCUGACAUAAGUAACGAUAAAGCGGGUGAAAAGCCCGCUCGCCGGAAGACCAAGGGUUCCUGUCCAACGUUAAUCGGGGCAGGGUGAGUCGACCCCUAAGGCGAGGCCGAAAGGCGUAGUCGAUGGGAAACAGGUUAAUAUUCCUGUACUUGGUGUUACUGCGAAGGGGGGACGGAGAAGGCUAUGUUGGCCGGGCGACGGUUGUCCCGGUUUAAGCGUGUAGGCUGGUUUUCCAGGCAAAUCCGGAAAAUCAAGGCUGAGGCGUGAUGACGAGGCACUACGGUGCUGAAGCAACAAAUGCCCUGCUUCCAGGAAAAGCCUCUAAGCAUCAGGUAACAUCAAAUCGUACCCCAAACCGACACAGGUGGUCAGGUAGAGAAUACCAAGGCGCUUGAGAGAACUCGGGUGAAGGAACUAGGCAAAAUGGUGCCGUAACUUCGGGAGAAGGCACGCUGAUAUGUAGGUGAAGUCCCUCGCGGAUGGAGCUGAAAUCAGUCGAAGAUACCAGCUGGCUGCAACUGUUUAUUAAAAACACAGCACUGUGCAAACACGAAAGUGGACGUAUACGGUGUGACGCCUGCCCGGUGCCGGAAGGUUAAUUGAUGGGGUCAGCGCAAGCGAAGCUCUUGAUCGAAGCCCCGGUAAACGGCGGCCGUAACUAUAACGGUCCUAAGGUAGCGAAAUUCCUUGUCGGGUAAGUUCCGACCUGCACGAAUGGCGUAAUGAUGGCCAGGCUGUCUCCACCCGAGACUCAGUGAAAUUGAACUCGCUGUGAAGAUGCAGUGUACCCGCGGCAAGACGGAAAGACCCCGUGAACCUUUACUAUAGCUUGACACUGAACAUUGAGCCUUGAUGUGUAGGAUAGGUGGGAGGCUUUGAAGUGUGGACGCCAGUCUGCAUGGAGCCGACCUUGAAAUACCACCCUUUAAUGUUUGAUGUUCUAACGUUGACCCGUAAUCCGGGUUGCGGACAGUGUCUGGUGGGUAGUUUGACUGGGGCGGUCUCCUCCUAAAGAGUAACGGAGGAGCACGAAGGUUGGCUAAUCCUGGUCGGACAUCAGGAGGUUAGUGCAAUGGCAUAAGCCAGCUUGACUGCGAGCGUGACGGCGCGAGCAGGUGCGAAAGCAGGUCAUAGUGAUCCGGUGGUUCUGAAUGGAAGGGCCAUCGCUCAACGGAUAAAAGGUACUCCGGGGAUAACAGGCUGAUACCGCCCAAGAGUUCAUAUCGACGGCGGUGUUUGGCACCUCGAUGUCGGCUCAUCACAUCCUGGGGCUGAAGUAGGUCCCAAGGGUAUGGCUGUUCGCCAUUUAAAGUGGUACGCGAGCUGGGUUUAGAACGUCGUGAGACAGUUCGGUCCCUAUCUGCCGUGGGCGCUGGAGAACUGAGGGGGGCUGCUCCUAGUACGAGAGGACCGGAGUGGACGCAUCACUGGUGUUCGGGUUGUCAUGCCAAUGGCACUGCCCGGUAGCUAAAUGCGGAAGAGAUAAGUGCUGAAAGCAUCUAAGCACGAAACUUGCCCCGAGAUGAGUUCUCCCUGACUCCUUGAGAGUCCUGAAGGAACGUUGAAGACGACGACGUUGAUAGGCCGGGUGUGUAAGCGCAGCGAUGCGUUGAGCUAACCGGUACUAAUGAACCGUGAGGCUUAACCUU